CCCUUGGUUUCCUUGGUUCAACAAGGGAAUUGCGUUCACGAUGACUGAGAGAGAUCGUCUUCUUCCAUCUAGUGCCAUGGACUCUGAGCAUCAAAUUCAGCGUUCCAUGACCGACUUGAAGAGAAUGGAGGAGCAAGCAAGAGAUGGACUUUCUGAUCCCAAUGCUCUUGCUAAAUGGCGAAUCCUUUUGCAGGAUCGAAGUGAGACCAUGUACUGAUGUACUAUAUGGUCAACUCCACUUUCUCUCUUUGUCACAAGUUGAGAAAACAUGUUUGUUUGAUUCUAAUCCGUGCUUGGAAGCCAAGAGGAAUGUAUUUUUAGCGCUGAAGAUCGUGGUGGAAUGAUGUCCAUGGGUUACAACUACCCAGCUGAACAGACUUGAAGUUGUCUAAUGAGUAUACAUGUAGCCAUCAUGGAUAUCGUGUGAAAGUGUACAUGUGAGGUAAUUAUUGUACAUG
Molecule: long non-coding RNA, 458 nt
Organism: Brassica oleracea var. oleracea
Lineage: Eukaryota; Viridiplantae; Streptophyta; Magnoliopsida; Brassicales; Brassicaceae
Exons: 4
Source: RefSeq, a predicted model, not a curated record